GUGGUGGAGAGUAAACUGGUGGUGGAGGAGAGUGCAUUGGUGGUGGCGGGGACUUGUACUUGUAAACUGGUGUUGGUGGUGGUGGAGAGUGCAUUGGUGGUGGUGGAGACUUGUAUUUGUAGACCGGUGUUGGUGGUGGUGGGGAAUGCUCGGGUGGUGGUGGAGAUUUAUAAACUGGAGUUGGUGGUGGUGGAGACUUGUACUUGUAAUGGUGUACUGGUGCGGGAGAAUGCUUAGGUGGUGGUGGAGACUUGUACUUGUAGACGGGUGUUGGAGGUGGUGGAGAUUUAUACUUGUAGACCGGUGUUGGUGGUGGUGGAGACUUGUACUUAUAGUGAUGUUCUGGUGCGGGAGAAUGCUUAGGUGGUGGUGGAGACUUGUACUUAUAGUGAUGUUCUGGUGCAGGAGAAUGCUUAGGUGGUGGUGGAGAUUUGUACUUAUAAACCGGUGUUGGUGGUGGUGGAGACUUGUACUUAUAAUGAUGCACUGGUGCGGGGGAAUGCUUAGGUGGUGGUGGAGAUUUAUACUUGUAAACCGGUGUUGGUGGUGGUGGAGAAUGUUUUGGCGGAGGUGGAGACUCAAAAUGAUAAGGCGUUGGAGGAGAAUGCAUAGGAGGUGGUGGAGACUUGUACUUGUAAACCGGUGUAGGUGGUGGUGGAGAAUGUUUAGGCGGGGGCGGGGAUUUGUAGUGGUAAGGCGGAGGAGGAGAAUGCUCCGGGGGUGGAGGAGAAUGCUCGGGAGGUGGUGGAGAGGAGUAAGAGUAUUUAGCUGUGGUUUGUGAAGCCAAAUUGAGGGACACCAAUACUACAAGCAAAGACACAAUGAGAGACCUCAUUUUGGAGCCUCUAGCAAUCCUUCCCAUGUUUACUACAACCAAAAGGCU
RNAcentral lists this long non-coding RNA (883 nucleotides) under Daucus carota (carrot). RNAcentral describes it as "long non-coding RNA (DCAR_LNC006454)". The record is from RNAcentral. Lineage: Eukaryota; Viridiplantae; Streptophyta; Magnoliopsida; Apiales; Apiaceae.